RNAcentral lists this ribosomal RNA (424 nucleotides) under Verrucomicrobiota bacterium. RNAcentral's name for it is "Verrucomicrobia bacterium partial 16S ribosomal RNA". It matches the Rfam family "Bacterial small subunit ribosomal RNA", at positions 355 to 776 of the family's 1533-position model. Lineage: Bacteria; Pseudomonadati; Verrucomicrobiota. The record is from RNAcentral.
GGAGGAAGAUUGGUCAAUGGACGCAAGUCUGAACCAGCCAAGUAGCGUGCAGGAUGACGGCCCUAUGGGUUGUAAACUGCUUUUAUAUGGGGAUAAAGUGGGGAACGUGUUCCCGUGUGCAGGUACCAUAUGAAUAAGGACCGGCUAAUUCCGUGCCAGCAGCCGCGGUAAUACGGAAGGUUCGGGCGUUAUCCGGAUUUAUUGGGUUUAAAGGGAGCGUAGGCCGUUUGGUAAGCGUGUUGUGAAAUGUAGGAGCUCAACUUCUAGAUUGCAGCGCGAACUGUCAGACUUGAGUGCGCACAACGUAGGCGGAAUUCAUGGUGUAGCGGUGAAAUGCUUAGAUAUCAUGAAGAACUCCGAUUGCGAAGGCAGCUUACGGGAGCGCAACUGACGCUGAAGCUCGAAGGUGCGGGUAUCGAACAGG